GUUGACCUCGGAUCAGGUAGGGAUACCCGCUGAACUUAAGCAUAUCAAUAAGCGGAGGAAAAGAAACCAACAGGGAUUGCUCUAGUAACGGCGAGUGAAGCAGCAAUAGCUCAAAUUUGAAAUCUGGCGUCUUCGACGUCCGAGUUGUAAUUUGUAGAGGAUGCUUCUGAGUGGCCACCGACCUAAGUUCCUUGGAACAGGAC
This 203-nucleotide ribosomal RNA is filed under the name Cladosporium sinuosum. RNAcentral describes it as "partial 28S ribosomal RNA". It matches the Rfam family "Eukaryotic large subunit ribosomal RNA", at positions 1 to 201 of the family's 3401-position model. The record is from RNAcentral. RNAcentral also lists the same sequence under 1 other name. Lineage: Eukaryota; Fungi; Ascomycota; Dothideomycetes; Cladosporiales; Cladosporiaceae.